RNAcentral lists this ribosomal RNA (245 nucleotides) under uncultured archaeon. Its description in RNAcentral is "partial 16S ribosomal RNA". It matches the Rfam family "Archaeal small subunit ribosomal RNA", at positions 474 to 718 of the family's 1478-position model. The record is from RNAcentral.
CCCCAGCGCCACUAGUGGGAACCAGUAUUAUUGGGCCUAAAGCGUCCGUAGCAGGUCUUCUAAAUUACUUGUGAAAUCGCAUAGCUUAACUAUGCGGACUGCAGGUAGGACUGGAAGACUUGAGACCGGGAGAAGUCGAAGGUACUCAGAGGGGAGCGGUAAAAUGCGAGAAUCCUCUGAAGACCACCUGUUGCGAAGGCGUUCGACAAUAACGGGUCUGACUGUGAGGGACGAAAGCUAGGGGA